AGACUAGCAGAUGCGAAAGCGUUCGCCACGGAUGUACUCUUUGAUCAAGAACGAAAGUUGGGGGAUCGAAGACGAUCAGAUACCGUCGUAGUCUCAACUAUAAACUAUACCAGCUAGGGAUCGGGCAAUGCUGUAAUCCAGAAGGCUUGCUCGGCACCUUAUGAGAAAUCAAAGCAUUUGGGUUCCGGGGGGAGUAUGGUCGCAAGGCUGAAACUUAAAAGGAAUUGACGGAAGGGCACCACCAGGUGUGGAGCCUGUGGCUUAAUUUGACUCAACACGGGAAAACUUACCAAGUCCAGACAUAGUAAGGAUUGACAGAUUGACAGCUCU
This 330-nucleotide ribosomal RNA is filed under the name uncultured marine eukaryote. Its description in RNAcentral is "SSU rRNA". It matches the Rfam family "Eukaryotic small subunit ribosomal RNA", at positions 933 to 1258 of the family's 1831-position model. The record is from RNAcentral.